RNAcentral lists this ribosomal RNA (492 nucleotides) under uncultured bacterium. RNAcentral's name for it is "partial 16S ribosomal RNA". It matches the Rfam family "Bacterial small subunit ribosomal RNA", at positions 29 to 507 of the family's 1533-position model. The record is from RNAcentral.
AGUGAACGCUGGCGGUAGGCCUAAUACAUGCAAGUCGAACGGCAGCACAGUAAGAGCUUGCUCUUACGGGUGGCGAGUGGCGGACGGGUGAGGAAUACAUCGGAAUCUACUUUUUCGUGGGGGAUAACGUAGGGAAACUUACGCUAAUACCGCAUACGACCUACGGGUGAAAGCAGGGGAUCUUCGGACCUUGCGUGAUUGAAUGAGCCGAUGUCGGAUUAGCUAGUUGGCGGGGUAAAGGCCCACCAAGGCGACGAUCCGUAGCUGGUCUGAGAGGAUGAUCAGCCACACUGGAACUGAGACACGGUCCAGACUCCUACGGGAGGCAGCAGUGGGGAAUAUUGGACAAUGGGCGCAAGCCUGAUCCAGCCAUACCGCGUGGGUGAAGAAGGCCUUCGGGUUGUAAAGCCCUUUUGUUGGGAAAGAAAAGCAGCAGGUUAAUACCCCGCUGUUCUGACGGUACCCAAAGAAUAAGCACCGGCUAACUUCGUG